GAUGAACGCUGGCGGCGUGCUUAACACAUGCAAGUCGAACGAACCUUUCGGGGUGAGUGGCGGACGGGUGAGUAACGCGUGAGAAUCUGCCUACAGGUGGGGGACAACCAUUGGAAACGAUGGCUAAUACCGCAUAUGUCGAGAGAUGAAAGAUUUAUUGUCUGUAGAUGAGCUCGCGUCUGAUUAGUUAGUUGGUGGGGUAACGGCCUACCAAGACAACGAUCAGUAGCUGUUCUGAGAGGAAGAUCAGCCACACUGGGACUGAGACACGGCCCAGACUCCUACGGGAGGCAGCAGUGGGGAAUUUUCCGCAAUGGGCGAAAGCCUGACGGAGCAACGCCGCGUGAGGGAGGAAGGUCUUUGGAUUGUAAACCUCUUUUCUCAAGGAAGAUAAUGACGGUACUUGAGGAAUCAGCAUCGGCUAACUCCG
Molecule: ribosomal RNA, 430 nt
Filed under: uncultured cyanobacterium
Lineage: Bacteria; Bacillati; Cyanobacteriota
Description: bacterial SSU rRNA
Rfam family: Bacterial small subunit ribosomal RNA
Source: RNAcentral